UAUUAUAUUAAUAAACAUGUCUUGAUCCUAAAUCAUUAAUAGAUAUAAUCUUUAAACUUGAAGAAUUUGGCGGUGGUUUAGUCUUGUUAGAGGAACCUGUUUUUGGAUCGAUAAACCACGUAAAAUUUUACUUAUUUUAUUAGUUUGUAUACCGUCAUUAUCAGAUAAUUUUUAGAGAAUUAAUCAUUAAAAUUUCUUUUAUGUAAAUUAAAUUAGAUCAAGGUGCAGCUUAUAGAUAAGCUAAAAUGGGUUACAAUAGAAUUUAUCUAUAUGGAGUAGUAAUAGGAAGUAAUUGUACGAAGGCGGAUUUAAUUGUAAUAAAAAUUUAACAAGUUUUAAAGAUAUAAGCUCUAGACCAU
Molecule: ribosomal RNA, 359 nt
Filed under: Cyclodius nitidus
Lineage: Eukaryota; Metazoa; Arthropoda; Malacostraca; Decapoda; Xanthidae
Description: partial 12S ribosomal RNA
Source: RNAcentral